CUGGCGGCGUGCUUAACACAUGCAAGUCGAACGGAGCUUAGAAGGAAGCUUGCUUCAUUAAGCUUAGUGGCGGACGGGUGAGUAACGCGUGAGUAACCUGCCCUUGAGAGGGAAUAACAUCGAGAAAUCGGUGCUAAUACCGCAUAAUGUCGGAGUACCGCAUGACAUUCCGACCAAAGAUUUUAUCGCUCAAGGAUGGACUCGCGUCCGAUUAGCUGGUUGGUGAGGUAACGGCCCACCAAGGCUUCGAUCGGUAGCCGAACUGAGAGGUUGAUCGGCCACAUUGGGACUGAGACACGGCCCAGACUCCUACGGGAGGCAGCAGUGGGAAUAUUGGGCAAUGGGCGCAAGCCUCGACCCAGCAACGCCGCGUGAAGGAUGAAGGUCUUCGGAUUGUAAACUUCUUUGAUUGGGGAAGAAUAAAUGACCUACCCAAAGAACAAGCCACGGCUAACUACGUGCCAGCAGCCGC
RNAcentral lists this ribosomal RNA (472 nucleotides) under uncultured bacterium. RNAcentral describes it as "bacterial SSU rRNA". It matches the Rfam family "Bacterial small subunit ribosomal RNA", at positions 36 to 518 of the family's 1533-position model. The record is from RNAcentral.